RNAcentral lists this long non-coding RNA (2398 nucleotides) under Homo sapiens (human). Its description in RNAcentral is "HSALNT0040626". The record is from RNAcentral. Lineage: Eukaryota; Metazoa; Chordata; Mammalia; Primates; Hominidae.
CCCCAGACUGUUCUCAUGGUAGUGAACAAGUGUCAUGAGACCUGAUGGUUUCAUAAAGGGAACCCCUUUUGCUUGGUUCUCAUUCUCUCUUUCUGCCACUAUGCCUUUCACCUUCUGCCAUGAUUGUGAAACCUCCCGAGCCAUGUGGAACUAACGUAGAGAAGAAAAAGGACUCUGGAGGAAGGUUGUAAAAGAUGGAAGGACUAAAAAUGGAGACACUUUGUACACUUGAAUCAUUGCAUGGAAGCCUACCAUGAAGUAUCAGUUGGACUAGAACUUCACUAAAUAAACUUCAAAGCCUUUAAAAACAUUCCUCUGUCUUUUUUAUGUUAACCACCAAACCAAUCUGUUGAAUUCUGUUUUGCUUCCUUCUAGAUAAAGUAAAUUUUGGUAUUUGGGAAUAGUAAUGUGAUGGUUAAUAUUGAGUGUCAACUUGAUUGGAUUGAAGGAUGCAAAGUAUUUUCCUAGGUGUGUCUGUAAGGCUGUUGCCAAAGGAGAUUAACAUUUGAGUCAGUGGGUUGGGAAAGGCAGACUCACCCUCAAUCUGGGUGGGCACCAUCUAAUCAGCUGCCAAUGCAGCCGGAAUAAAAGCAGACAGAAGAACGUGAAAAGACUGGACUGGUUUAGUCUCUCAGCCUACAUCUUUCUCUACUGUUGGAUGUCCACUGGGAGCUGGGUCUGUGGCCCUUAGUGCUCCUAUUGUUCCAUUCUAUUCAUAUUCUUCAUUCUUCUACUCAGUACUGGGCAAAGAUCAAACCAACCUGUAGUUCCCUUGAUAAAAGGGCAGGAUGCUUCCUGCCCUUGAACAUCGGACUCCAAGUUCUUCAGCUUUGGGACUCUUGGACCUUGGACCACAGGCUGAAGUCUGCACUGUCAGCAUCCUUACUUUUGUGGUUUUGGGACUCGAACUGCCUUCCUUGCUCCUCAGCUUGCAAACAGCCUAUUGUGUGACCUCACCUUGUAAUCAUGUGAGUCAAUACUCCUUAACAAACUCCCCUUUAUUUAUACAUCUAUCCUAUUAGCUCUGUCCCACUAGAAAACUCUAACUAAUACGAGCAGUAUAAAUUUAAGUUUUGUUUCCAGCCUCAAGGUUGAGGGCGUUUUAUCAAGGGGACUACUGGUUGGACUGACCUCUGUCCAGCACCAACCAGAAGAUGAAGAAUAAUUUGAAUAGAAUGACACAACAGGAGCACCAAGAGCCACAGACCCAGAUCCCAGGGGACAGUUACAGGCCCAGACAGGCAAGAUCUAGAACCAAAUGAAAAAAUAAUAGAGCAAACACUGAUUAGCUCUUAUCACCGAGAAAAGCAGCUUUCCCAUCAGACUUGUUUGUUUUAUAGUCAUGCUGUGUUCAGGUGGCAGAGCCUAUGACCCUGUGGCUCAAGGGAGCAGGUGCAGUUGAUGUACCAUAAAACACAAAGGGAGUAGAUAUUUGAAACAGGGUUCUAAUACCAAUUUUACUGCUUAUUAACUGUGUAAACUUAAAAUACUAUUAAAACCUGCGUACGUUUCUCAAAUGAGGAAAAUAUAACUAUAAUCCCAUUGGAUUAUUAUGACAAGUGGAAUAUUAAAGGUGAAAUAAGUAAUCAAGAUUUAAUGCAUUCAUUCCUUUCCUCUCCUCUGAUUAACAUAAAAUGAGGACUGGAUUUUUCAGGAGCCUCUUACGGUCACUAGCUGCAGAUUUAUUGAUAUUCUUAGCAAUAUUAAAAAAGUUGUGUUACAGUAGAGGAUCCAAUAGGCAAGUAAAUAGUAUCUGGGCUGAAUUGCUACAUCUGGCAGUAAUGUAAUUCCUUCUAAUUUAAACCCCAACUUUUGUGGAUUUCACAUAUGUGAUUAAGGGAUAGGGAAAUGCUGUAGAGAUAAGAAUUGCUGCUCAGCAUAAGUGAAAAGUGCCUGCCUGUCUCACCUCCCUGCCAACUGGCUUGUACAACUCAUAAUGUCUCUGUUUUUUUACUCUCUUCAUUUACUAAAUCUCAGCACUUCAUUCCCUCCUGUUGCAGGCAGGAAAAAGAUAAAUUUUUGUUUGAAUAUCAUCUUAAGUAAAUUAGUGCGUAUAGGCAUGAUUUGUAUAAUUACAGCUGUUAAUAAUUAGUGUAAAUAGAGAUCAUGUCACAACUAGCAAAUGUAAUUAAAUCACAUAAGAAGUCUAGAAAAACCUACGUUUUGUGUAGGAAAAGAAUGCAUUAGAUAAAUUGUAAAAUUGUUCUAUAGAAAACACUUAAAACAUAUUGUGCUUCAUAUCUAGUUACAAAUAAUUGCAAACCAAGGUUUCUUAGGAAUAUUUUUGUGUAUUUUAAAUAAUUUUUUAAGUCAAAGAAAUAAAAUACCCAAGGCCAUGCACGGUGGCUCACGCCUGUAAUCCCAGCACUUUGGGAGGCCCAGUCGGGUGGAUUACGAG